Molecule: ribosomal RNA, 469 nt
Filed under: uncultured bacterium
Lineage: Bacteria
Description: partial 16S ribosomal RNA
Rfam family: Bacterial small subunit ribosomal RNA
Source: RNAcentral
UAGGGAAUCUUCCACAAUGGACGCAAGUCUGAUGGAGCAACGCCGCGUGAGUGAAGAAGGCUUUCGGGUCGUAAAACUCUGUUAUUGAAGAAGAACGUGUGUGACAGUAACUGGUCAUGCAGUGACGGUAUUCAAUCAGAAAGUCACGGCUAACUACGUGCCAGCAGCCGCGGUAAUACGUAGGUGGCAAGCGUUGUCCGGAUUUAUUGGGCGUAAAGCGAGUGCAGGCGGUCUUUUAAGUCCGAUGUGAAAGCCUUCGGCUUAACCGAAGAAGGGCAUCGGAAACUGGGAGACUUGAGUGCAGAAGAGGAGAGUGGAACUCCAUGUGUAGCGGUGAAAUGCGUAGAUAUAUGGAAGAACACCAGUGGCGAAGGCGGCUCUCUGGUCUGUAACUGACGCUGAGGCUCGAAAGCGUGGGUAGCAAACAGGAUUAGAUACCCUGGUAGUCCACGCCGUAAACGAUGAAUAC